Long non-coding RNA from Ictidomys tridecemlineatus (thirteen-lined ground squirrel), 1752 nucleotides. RefSeq lists it as uncharacterized. The record is from RefSeq and is a predicted model, not a curated record. NCBI's taxonomy places the organism in Eukaryota, Metazoa, Chordata, Mammalia, Rodentia, Sciuridae.
GCCUUGGUAACAACUUGAAAACAGGCUGAGUCCUCAAGAGGAUGGCCAUUCCAGGAAGCCGAGAGUGGGAGCCCCGCUGGUGGAGAUGCCAGGCAUCAGGCCACGGAGAAAGAAGGUCCUCUCCAGAUGCGGCCCCUUGAAUUUGGACUUACCAGCCUUUAGAAGCGUGAGCUUCAUAAACCUCCACUGCUCAUCCCUUGCCCAAUCCAUGGUAUCCUACUACACAGCAGGAAGCCGACUCAAGAACUCACCCACAACCCAGGGAGACUGAGAUCACACGAGAUUGGUAGCAUGAAAGUAUUCUGUGAAGUGUGAAGCAAUAAACAGAGAGGAAAAUUAUCAUUCUUAUUCGGAUUCUUCUUCCUACUGCCAGGAAGUCUUCACGGAUCACGGACACCCAGACCACAUAAGAAAUCCUCACGACGUGCUCCGGAGCAUCCCAUGAUUCCCCAGUUUCAGGAGUUCGCAUGUCACAGUGUUCCUGCUUACUGAAUUGUCUUCCCCUCUGUGCCAUGAACACUGGGAAGAGAAAGUAUUUGUCUGGUUUUCAAUAUCAUCAGCACUCCGUGCCACUUGGAAUGGGACUAAUUGGUAGAGAGAACAGAAGGAAGGAUCUGGAUGAUGUCUGCCAGCGCAAGCAGUGGGGACCCAGCAGGCGCCUCGCGCUCUGAACACCCACUCUGUAAACAGGGACUGAUGGAUCUGACAGCCAGCCGGCACCUUGAUGUCUGGGAGCCAUGUCCAGGCUGGUCUAGUUGGCCAAGUAGGUGACCUUUUGCUGCUCCAAGUGACGCAGCUUGCUGGACCAGACAGAAUGAGAUGUCAAGGAGUGGUCUCUUGAAACCAAAGAGGUGGGUAAAGGGGAAUGACUCAAACUCAUCCCUCUCUACCUCUAACAGCUUCUAGGGCCCCAAAUGCAGAGCGCCUUGGUCAACUGCCAACACCAGAAGAGAAGUGUCAUUAAGUCAGACACCAGUGAAUACAUAUGUUGGUGCCUGAUAACCACCAGUGGCCAGAUGAACAAAUCUGCUCUGGCCUGAAGAGAAUCGACAACGGCUCUGAGAUGAUGGGAAGAUAGGUAGAUGAUAGAUAGAUAGAUAGAUAGAUAGAUAGAUAGAUAGAUAGAUAGAUAGAUAGGUAGAUAGAUAGAUAGAUAGAAAGAACAUGUUAUAAGUUAAAAAGAACUGUAAUACUUAUUAAUGGGCUGUGGGAAAUUAGCCAAUUUAUUGGCUAUAAAACUUGAACUUCGAUCUCAAAAAAAGACCAAUCUCCUACCAUCUCUCCCCACUUUUACAAUUAUUUUCAUUUUUCCCAUCCCAGAGGCCCGCGGGGACCCCUCUUUGGAGCCUUCACAUGAGGGAGAUGGAACCCUUUUCCUUCAGAGUGGCUCUGCCCCAUCUUACCUGUCCUCACUUCCCCCUGGACCUGUCCUUCCUCAGAUUCUAACAAGCACCGCUCUUCCCUCAGUCCCCCAGUGAAGUCCCCUAAGCUGGCUCAUUCCUGUCCCAGAGGAUGAUUUUCUACAGAGGCCUGGAGGGGUCAGGGUGGUAGGGACUGCAGCUUCCACACAGCAUCGCCAGCUUUGAAUGUAUUCCGAGAAUCACACCCACCACCUGCUGCACAUCCUCCUCCACAGCCCCUCAGAAACCCCACCUGCCUCUACAGCCUCAAUCAAGAAAAAAAAAAAAAGAAAACUUCAAAAACAGUUGAUAGAACAGAAAAUUCUGAUUUAAAAAACAAGAUAUAACAAAA